RNAcentral lists this ribosomal RNA (253 nucleotides) under uncultured bacterium. RNAcentral's name for it is "partial 16S ribosomal RNA". It matches the Rfam family "Bacterial small subunit ribosomal RNA", at positions 524 to 776 of the family's 1533-position model. The record is from RNAcentral.
UACGUAGGGCGCGAGCGUUAAUCGGAAUUACUGGGCGUAAAGCGCGCGUAGGCGGUUGGGUAAGUCAGAUGUGAAAGCCCCGGGCUUAACCUGGGAACUGCAUUUGAUACUGUCCGACUCGAGUAUGGUAGAGGGGGGUGGAAUUCCCGGAGUAGCGGUGAAAUGCGUAGAUAUCGGGAGGAACACCAGUGGCGAAGGCGGCCCCCUGGACCAAUACUGACGCUGAGGUGCGAAAGCGUGGGGAGCAAACAGG